AUGUUAAAUUGCUGAUCAUGUUAAAUCAUCCUGCAGGAUGAUUUCCAAUAUGUGGAAGGACUGUUUAUUCCUAUGUUCUAACAAAUGUUCCCGGACCAUACUCUCUAGGAAGACUGACGGUGGUGACGCCUCAGAAGCCCCACACCACCAGGCUCUCAACAGGAAGGCUCCCUUGUGCCUAAUGUAAUAAUGAUUUGUGCCUUUUUAGCCCACCUAAUUAUAUAUCUUCAACUAUACUUGUAAUGCCAGUCAUGGUAACCUCUUUGAAUGUAUAAAUACAUAGAUUAGCCUGCAGGAUGGUAAAAGCUUUUGAUAGAGCCCAGGCCUGUGAACCAAAAGAUUGCAGUUGAUUCCCAGUCAGGGCACAUGCCUGGGUUGCAGGCCAGUUCCUAGCAGGGGCCAGUCCCCAGCAGGGGACAUACCAGAAGCAGCCAUACAUUGAUGUUUCUCCUCCUCUCUCCUUCCCUUCCCUUCUAAAGAUAGAUAGAUAGAUAGAUAGAUAGAUAGAUAGAUAGAUAGAUAGAUAGAUAGAUAGAUGAUAGAUAGAUAAAUAAAUAAAAAAUUUUUUAAAAAAACUUUUGAGUGCCACCUCUCAAGCCAUUAGGGCCAUCAGUCAAGAACUACAACAAGUUAGAGAAGUCAUAUUAGAAAAUUGUGCAGCUAUGGGCUACCACCUUUUAAGACAGAAUCACAGGUGUUAAGAAUUUAAAGGACUCUACUACUUCAAUCCGAAUGAUAAUUCAUAGCUAAUAGAGCAUAAAGUAAAGCAAGUAAAUUAAGUGGUGCCCAAGAUAAAAUGAAGAGGGAUUCUUUGGUACUGAGUUGUCUAAACUAACUUCCUAGCUGACUAAUAUUGCUGGUCAUGGAAAGACAUCUGUUGUUUUCCUUCUUUUUAUCUUUUUCAGUAUCACAGCUUGUUGCAUACAAUGUGUCCCCUUAUGUGGAUCUGCAAUUAAGUGUAUUCCUUAAGAGACUUUCUAAUGCUAGGAUACAUGUUGGUAACCACCAUACCUGGUUUCAAAAGCUGUAACCCCACCCCCCACCCCCCACCCCCCCACGGCUAAGGCUGAAUGCUUAACCUUCAGAACAUAAGCCACUAAGGAGACAAAGCUUAUCUCCCUGGCAGGGAUGCUGCCUCUGUCCCCUUUUGCCUGGCUCCCAAUGCAUGAUCGGUUAGCCAAUGAUGGGUAAGAUUCCUCAAGGGAGGAACCACCUAAGACAGGCAUGAUCAUGGGGGGCCCCCAGGGAAGGACAGGAAGGACUUGGGGACUAUAGAAUAAGGGGGUGAUAGACCCUCACCCCUUGGCUUUGACAUAGCCUGAGUCCUCAUUCUGUCUGCAAGAAGUCUCCUGAUCUCCUGGCUGCCUUACAUCCCCAGCCUGACUUAAGCCUGAAACAAUGACAGAGGGCGGUGCAGCCCUGUGCUGGAAAGGGGGGUUCCCCAGGGUGAUCAGACCUAAGAAAGAGUACAUAAAAUCCUGUGAAACCUGCCUUUAUAAGAAUGCCCUCAAUUAAAUGAUAAGGGUCCAAGCAGGAAAUGAGUUUGUUUCCCAAAGUUUUGUAGCCCUUUAGCUAACAGACCCUGACUCAAAAUAAGCCCUCGUAGUUCUUUGAUACUUACUGCCUGACAAUGAUUGAUGAGCUUUACCUGUAUUCCUGUGCAAAAUGAACCCAAUAAAAGCCCACUGAAGAAAAGGCUCUCGGCCCUUCUCCUUUGAGAGAUUGGCCACCUAUCCUACCCAAGCAGAUCAAGUCUUGGUAGACUUAUUCUCAUCCACGAUAGCCAGGGGGGCAGGGCCCUGUGGGCAGAGCCCCCUCCCCAAUACAUGCUCUACAGCGAAAUAAUUACUUCCACAAGAAACUGAUCUAAGAAGAUAGUUAAGACUAACAUUGGGAUAAUGAUGGGGGAACCCAGGAGUUAAAAAAUGUUAGCUUUAAGUUAUAGUUAACAGGCUUAGUGGUUAAUGCAGGUAGAAAGCUGUUGUUCUAGGAACUGAAAUGUAUGACCAGACCUGCCCAGACUCCAGGAGGCCUGCAAGCAAUUCAACCUUUGUGCUCCAGGAUUGUAAGCCAUCAAGAUGGUAUCUGAGCCACUGUGCUCCAUGGAGAGAAAGUCUGCUGACCAGGAUGCAGAUAAAGAAUCACAGGUCAACAGAUGAAGAUAUUGCCACAGCUACUCCAACCUUCAGCAACAACCAACCACUCUGAUCAGUCAGCAGCCAUCAACACUGAGGCAAGACCCUCCACGAGCAAAAAUAACAAAAGGAUUACAACUCACAGAAGGCUCAGGUGAAGGCCAAGGGAAGGAGCAUGGUGCACAUCCGGUCCAGGCAACCCACCAGUGACUGCAGCCCUAGCCAGUGCCGGACCUUCAACUGUCAGAGAACCACCCACAUGAGCCCACUCAAGCCACAGAAAAGUGAGAGAUAAUAAUAAAUUUUUGUUUUAGGAUAUUGCGUUUGGAGAUUUCUUG
Artibeus jamaicensis (Jamaican fruit-eating bat) is the source of this 2473-nucleotide long non-coding RNA. RefSeq lists it as uncharacterized. The transcript has 3 exons. The record is from RefSeq and is a predicted model, not a curated record. NCBI's taxonomy places the organism in Eukaryota, Metazoa, Chordata, Mammalia, Chiroptera, Phyllostomidae.